Molecule: non-coding RNA, 362 nt
Organism: Podarcis muralis (Common wall lizard)
Lineage: Eukaryota; Metazoa; Chordata; Lepidosauria; Squamata; Lacertidae
Source: RefSeq, a predicted model, not a curated record
GGACUUAGAAGCAGCAGCACAGCCGCCAUUGCUCUCAGCAUGUGGCCGUUCAGUGCUGAAAAAAGGGGGUCUCUCCCAACUUGAGGCAAGAGGAUUUCUUAACUCAGGACAUAAUAGGCUGCUGCAGAGGCAAACCAUGAAGGAGGCAGGAGGGGCACAAAAAGUGAAUGAACCAUUGGAGAUUGUGGGCCGUGGUUUGUGGAACCAGCAGCAGCCCUGUGGUGCAGGGAAACCCAGCAAAAUCCGGAGGUAUGUUGUGACCUUGUGUGGCAGGGGAAGUGUUUCCCAGUGAUCUUGGGGGUGGAGGAGGAAGGCCUGAUUUAGAGAUCCCUAUAGUUUUAUGGAGAGGGUUUCUCUGUCGU